CACUAUGCAUUUCUUCUUUCUUCAGGAGUUAAGAAGCAGUGUCUGUCAGUCACCUAGUUGGAACUGAAUAUCUCCUCAGAGAAUUAUGCUGUGGGUGAAAAGAGUAACCCCAAAGGCCACUAAACACUAAAUAACUCCAUCUCUACAAUGCUCUUGAAAUGAUAAAAUCACGAUAAUGAUGAACAUGUUCAUAGAUGAUCAGGGCUUUUAUGAACUCUCUCUUGCCCUACAAUCCCAAGAGCUAAAACUGGUAAAUUGGUUUUUUUUUUUCUUUCUUCUCUCCAAACCUACUUGCCAGCUUUCCAUGCUUUCUAGGUCUCCUCUGGGACUUUUCACAAUGUUCAUAUCCUAAAGCUUAUAUGACGAUGACAAGAAAUGCCUAAAUCAUAAAUCAAAAAUAAUUCAUAUAAUUAAACAUUUCUAUUUCAUGAAUGAAAAAUGCACAAAGGUCUCCAAUGACUCUCAUCUCACCAAUAUCAGUAGUUUGCUGUGGCUGUGGAAGAGGCCUUUGGAAGAUCUGGGCUCAAGUCUUUUGUGAAUGACCAACUGCAUCCAUCUUGAUCACAUUUCUGCACCAUUGAACACCUCCUUGUAUACUCUCACUGCUUCUUCCAGCUCAUGACAGACCCUGCCUUUUUUGCUUAUUAGCAUCAUUAUUUCAUAUUUCUUUAUUUUAUGUGUAUGAGUGUUUUGCCUGUAUGUAUGUGCACCACAUGUGUACCUUGUGUCCUUGAGGUCAGAAGAGAAUGUUGGGUCCCCUGGAACUGACAUGGCCCAAGGUUGUGAGCUGCCAUUUGGGUGUGGGGAACUAAACCCAGGUUCUGAGAAAGCAGCAUGUGCUUUUAGCCACUGGGCCAUCUUUCCAGACCUGUUUACGAUGUAUUUUGACUGUUUCUACCACACACCCUCUUCCAACUCCCCCUGCACCUUUCCACUCCCAAACAGGCCUCCCUCCUCACUCCACGAUCUCUUUUUAACUCACUGAGUCCAAUUCUGUUUUUAGUCACCUGCUUGCUAACUAGAGCUGUCCCAGUGAACUUUCCUUCCCCGUUCUAAGCAUUUCAGAUGGGAACUAGAGGUCAUGAACAUCUUGAAUCUCCACAUAAGAAUGUGCCUCUCUGCCUGGCUCUGUAUGGCACCUCAAAGCUGAUGGUAAAAUAGUUUUGAAUUUCCAUCACUUGAUUUUUAUGGCAUUUACAAAUAAUUUUUCCCUUUGAACUAUGGAAUGUCUUUACUUUGUUAAUGCUAUUUGUUUUAUGUAUAUGAGGGUUUUGCCUGCAUGUCUGUGCACCACAUGCAUGCCUGGUACCAGCAGAGGCCAGAAGAGGGCAUCAGGUCCCCUGGAACUGGAGUUACUGAGGGUUGUGAGCUGCUUGCUGUGUAGGUGCUGGGAACUGAACCCAGGUCCUCUGCAAGAACAGCAAGUGCUCUUAGAUGUUCAGCCACCUCUCCAGACCCAUGAAUUUCUUUUUAUAUAGAAAAAGUGAAGUUUCAAUCUUUGUCAUUUUGUAAUAAAUGUACACUUACAUAAAAUGCUUCAUAUGUUUCUUCCUAUGGGAAAUUGCCAGGGAGGGUUUUUUUUUUUAAUAAUUUAAAACUCAAACAGGUGGCAGUUUCUUUUAAUCAUGUGAAAUAUUCUAGAUUUAAAUUCAUUUAGUUUUGAAUACAUAAUGCAUGCAUAUGAUUUAAGCUAUAGUAUAUGUCUCCUUUCAUCCUUGACUUCCAAUGAAUUUAGUUCUCUCCUGUGUAAGGAGUCUUUCCUGCUACUGUACACAUGUAAUACAAUACAUAUGCUUUAUAGAAGUGGUAAAAUAUGAAAGUCAUCAUUUCAUAUAAUUGCUUUCCCUCUGUUAACUAAGUACAAUAGAGAUGGUUCUGUAGUAAUCAUAAAGACUGACUUCAUGCUUUACUUUAAGAAUGUAAAGUGCCAUACUUUAUGUAAAGAGUCUACUUACCUACACUGAGGCUAUUCAAUGAUCUUGUAUUCAUAUCUGUAGAUGCACAGGCAAACAUUCCUCUAGAUUCUACAUUGUUGCAUAAGUCCUUAGAAAUGUAUCUAUAUUUGUAAAAAUAAGGCAUUUGUUAUAUCAAUUGUGGAAUUCUCAUAUCUAGCAAAUGGUUUUAAAUAAUGCCUUAAUUUUAAUUGGCAAGGCCCUAUGCAUUUUAUGAGUUAGAUUUUAAGAUCUGGAAAUUAUAUGCACCUGCAUUUUUUGUUGUUGUUUUUUACUUUCUUCUUUUCUUGCUGUUUUCUUUUUCAUUUCUCUCCUGUGUUCUUCUACCUUUCUUUCUUCCUCCCUCCUCUUCCUCUAGCUCACGUUCCUAUUAAAGAUCAGAUUGGGAGCGGUGUAGCCACUAGAUGGUGGUACAAGCACACAGGGAAAACUAGUUUGUAAACAGAUUAGGCGCUAGUUUUCAUUUCCUGCUUAGUUUUUAAAUUGCUAUCCACCGGGGCCCUUAAAUGCCUCCUAAGGGACAUCACUGUGAUCGCUGUUUAGUAGUUGAGCCAACAUAACACUGAUGUUGAGCUUUUCGGCAGCUGCUGUGGCCCACUUUAUGUUGAUGGUGAGACUUUUUAAAAACGCUCAUUGCUUGCCUACAAUAACUCCUCAGUGGGAAUCUGGUAAGUUUCCUGAGUGAUUUGAAGGGCUUGCUUAUAUUCUUGACUGAUUUACAGGUCCUACAAUGUUGCAUUUGAGACUACUUAGAAUUUAUAAUCCUGCUUUAUUUAGUUGACUGAAUUUCAGUGAAGAAAUGGCAGUUCUGUAGCUAGUUCCUAAAAUGACAGAAGGCAGCUAUUUGCUAUGGUUUGCCCCAUCAGUUGCAAUUCAGAGAUUUAUACAAACAUGCUUCAUCCAUCACUUCAAGGUCUAAAAUGUAGUUUUCAAUAUCUUGGAAUUUAUUAUAGAAGUAUUUUUCUGCAUGCAAAUUGCCUUAAUUUUUUAGAGGUGUCUGUUUUCUCUAUGAGAAUCUAUGCUGUGAAAGUUUGUAUUGGUAAAUUCUUCUCAAAUCACAGAAGAAAGGCAUCUAACAGUAUUGAAGGGUCUUUGCUUAUAUUAGAGCUACAUGAUAAAGAUAGCAUUUAUACUCUUGAAAACCAGCUCAAUGCAUUUAGCAGAGGACAGUGUUAUCAGCACCACCACCCCUCCAACACACACAGUAAAUGUUCUGUGCAGAGGUGGCACACAUUCAUUCUCCUGUUUGGCAGUGUCCCUAUUUGGUUUGUGGGGAUGGGUAUAUGAGACCUUCUUGUUUUGUGACUACAUGCUCUUGUCAAGCGCAUGUCUUCCUGAGAGGUAUCCUUAUACUCAAGCUUGGGGUUACUAACUUCAAUGAGUCAGUUAUUUGGGGGCAAGUGUUGAGGUCUAUCAUCCCAUUUGUAUCAGGGUUGCCUGACUUAGAAAAAAGAAGACUAACAUUUUAAUUGUCUGAAGGGUUUUGAUAAUAAUGAGGCUUUCUUACCACUUACUAUGUCUUGAUGAAACUCUACGAUCUGCUGUCUAGUAGCUGUGUUAUACUGUUACACCUGGAAACCUUCAUUUAAGACAUUUGCUGUUUAACUAAAAGGAAAUGACUUCAUACAUAAGAGAAGACAAAAAUAAUCACUGACUAGAAUUCAACAGAAGAACUCUGAGUUCAGAGAAGCAGUCCCUAAGAUGAGGAGCCCACUGGCACCCUGCACCAUGAAGUAGAAGCCACUGCAGCUGGGUCCUUCGUUUUAUUAGGAAAGAUAGCCCAUUUUGUGAUCUGCAACGUUUAAAUCAGUUGAACUAUAGUGAAAUCUCUCCCCUGAAAUGGCUAUUACACAGCUUGCAACCUUUUGUUCAAGAGAUUAAGUUUGCAUCUCCUCACAUUAUCUCCUUGUAAUUGGAAAACUUUCAUUUUGACGGAGAAAAUGUGCCAGCAUCCCCGAGAGCCUUGCCACAAGCCAAUGCAGAGUGCCAUCUGGAGGGUGCAUGCCCACAUCAGGCAGCAGACUCCUGGCGGGCUGUAUCUGGAACUCUGCGAUGAACAACUAAUAACAUCUUAAGCUCCAUUUGUCUAGCUCGUGAGUGCUCUUGGCAGAGGUCAUAACCAGCAGUGGUUUUCUUGAUUUGCUGCAUCAAAUGUAAUUAGGUUAAAGCACUCACUGACAGAGCCUCUGAUAAUGGCAUAAAAGCCUCAGGCUUGAAUUUACCCAUCGAGUCAAAUUUAAGUUUCGAUCAACAAAGAUGUAUUAAUUUCAUCACCAGGACAGUGAAAAACUGAUGAAUUUUAAAGGUAUUUAUGUGGAGCAACACAGUUUUCCUUUCUUUGGAUUUCAUACUUCUUUGGCUUCUAUUUUAAAAUUGAGUUUAAUCAACUUCUGUUCUGGUUCCUAGCUUCUAAAAGAGACACUGAUGUCUCCUGCUAAGACACAUGGUCCCUCAUGUACUCAAACCAUGCAUCGCUCGUGAACCUUACCGUUGGUCACAUUGUAGAAAAUGAGGAGACAUCUUCAGCAUGUCACCUUCAUGUAAAUUAAUUCUGCCAGUUGUCUACACAUAAAGACAGAAAUGACACCAUGGUUGACCUUUUAACCUUUGCCUGCUGAAAAACUCCAGGAUUAGCAGAGGCCUCUUCAUAAAUGAGUCAGUUCAAGGCCGUGAGUAAAAUAGAGAACCAUUGCUUAGGGUUAAAUUUAGGGCAAGCUUGGGCCCAGAGCACAAGACAGACGUUAGCUUUUAUGAAAAGCAUACAAAAAGAGUGUGAGCUCUCUGCAGAAAAUGAGGCUUAACAGUUUUCAGCACCAAUGUUAUAGAACAAGUACUAGAGAAAGAGAGAGCUGGGGUGUGGUCUUAUCAGGAAGGCAAGGCUGUAAAGUUGUUGGUCUGCAUAAUAAGGCCUUUGAACAUCAGCAGAGGAACUAAGGAUGAGGGACAGGCAAAGCAACCACGGGAGAACAACACUUUUUCAAACUGACUUCGGCUUCUCCUGUCCCUGCUUCUUGGAAAUACUGGCACUACUGAAGCUGGUGGAGAAAUAGGCCUGCAAUUUCUGGGGAACAGCAGUGAUUCCUGUCGACUUUGUACCUCACUGGGGGAUGUUGUGUUCGAGUGUUUCAGGUGGUUCUGCCUCUGAUAAAAGCAAUAGGCGUGUGUGAGAAUGAGGUUAAGUAAGUGUUUAUUUGAGGAUUUAAUAUUGCACACGCCAACGGAGUACAGCAAUUACCAUGCUGUGAAUUUCAUAUUCAUGUGUGGCAUAUUUAUUUGUUGUUUACCUCUCUGCAUAAUGGAAAUGCCAUGAAAAUCUGUUCCUUCUACUGCUUUAAUUUUAAAUGAAGCUAAAUGUUAUGUAUAAUUUUAAGUUACAGACUGCUAAUUUCAUUCUGUUUUAAAUACUCUACACAUAAGAAGCUCUUAUGGUCCUGCAAGAAUCCACGCUUUGGACAAAAUCAAAGCAUAAUCCUUUCAGUAAUUGUGUAGUAGGUAGGUAGUUAAUAGAUUAAAUUAUGAACCUAAUAUCAUCACAUUGACAGUCUAUUUCAAACUGUGUAGUUAUCUGUACCAUUCAUACGUGUAUGACUCUCUGUAAAUAGAUAUGUAUGCCUUUGUUACUUUCCUGCUAAAUACCAUAUAGUUAAAAGACAAAAGCCCAUAGCCUCUGGUGGUAAAUUGUUUGUGUCUAGCUCACUUACAAUAAUCUGGUGAUAGACUCAGUGCUCGGUGGAACGGUGAUGAAAGCUUUGGGAACAGUACAGUUUUCACCUAUUUCCAUGAUAGUAUUUUAAAGAGCGAGGCAAUGGCAGACCUCAAAGCUAGUUCACCUUCUGUAAAUACAGUGGAACAAAGCAAGGAAAAUGCCGGAAAGAAAAACAUCUAUAGCUCUUGUCUACGGCUUCCCGUCUCUAGUCUGGGAAUCCAUUCAUGUGCCAUGCCUCGACUUCUCUUUGCUGGCCCAUCCCGCUCUUCUCUCCUCAACUCCAGAGCCAUCUCAGGAACCAGGGAUGUGUGCCACCCAAGAUCUGCCCAAUUAUUACUUAUUUAACAAGCAUCACUGUGCACUGAGCAUGUAUAUAGCUAAGGUCUCCACCCCUGGCUACAGCCUGCAUGGGAACAGAUCUAGACCACGCAGGUGAAAACACCCACUCAAUAGCCCUGCAAGCCAGCACAUACUUAUGUGUUUAAAGGCAGAAAUGGCCGAGAAGUUUCAUUUUCUGAGAACUCUUAAUGUAGUCUGCAAAGCUCGGAAUGUAAUGCGCCAGUUGUUCAAUUUCCAUUGUUAUUUACCAAAGUGAAGCUUUGAAUGAAGGGAGAAUGUGCCAUCUGCCUCCCCCUGUGAUAAUGCUUGGUUUUAUUCCCAAGUACAUCAACCACUGACUUGGCAUUUCAACUAACCGAAGCACUUUUCUCAUUAGACUGUGUCUGUGUCUACAAAAGACCAUAUUUUCCUGGUUGCUCAUUUGAAUAUUCCUGUCCUCUCCGUCUUCCUUCACUGGAUUUGAGACUUUCUAUCCAAAAAUAUGGCCAGUUUGAUAUGGCCAGUUUUCUGGAUACCUCAUGGACAGGCUACACCUGAUACAGCUCUUUUUCCAGUGACUUAUUCAAUCAACUCUUUUGUUUAUUUUUAUUUACUAUGUAUAUUGCCUGUUUUCUGUGGACACAGGGCAUAUAUAAUUCUUUGAGAAGAUAUAAUAUAAUGUGAUACCCAUCCUUAACUCAAUUUCAGUUAAAAACAAAAACUGAGUAUGGAGGUCUAAAAACAGUCUAUUUUAAGUAGACAUUUCUAAAUGCCAGGGCAUAUAGAUAACAUAUCUAUUCAUCCAGCCAAUCACUUAAUAAGCACUUAUUGAGUGUUGUGAUAUGUUCAGCAGUCUAAGACUCAUUGGAGAUAUAAACUUGAGAAAACCAUGCAUGGUGCCUGACCUGGAUGAGUUUAGAGCAAGUGGGUACCGUGGCAUAAGGACCUAUCUGAAGAACGUGAGCAUCACCUAGAAGCAUAAUAGUCAUGUAUGGUGUCUGAUCCAUCCAGCUUCAGUGAGAAGCAGCUGUGUUAUAACAAGUUAUUCCAGUGACUCAAAGUAAAGUUUGAAAAGUGCUGGUGGAACAUGGAAUGCUUGGUGGACAACACAGACAAAUGGGGAUCACCAAAUUUUAUUAAAAGGGGGAAGAAGGUGAAUCUAGGCAAGCUAAAGAUAAGAGCUGGAUGGAACCUAAAAUCUGAUUCAGAAUACAAGGUUUGGAGAUCUAGCUGGGAAUAUUUCUUCAAAACUACCGCAGGGGCAGAAAGAAGGAGGCUGAUGCAUUGAUGCAUUGCAGGCAGAGGGGGAGCUGGUAGAUAUGGAUGAAAGUCAAAGCUUGGAGGACAGGACACAGUGCAGGGUCCAGAGUAGAAGGAGCCAUUGGUGGCAGUGGCGACACAGCAGCUGGAGGCCAGAUUUUCUAUCUCAGGCACGAGAAGGAAGGCCAACAUUAACAUUUUCCAGGUGAUCUUUAAAUGAAGAAUCAGGGCUUAGCUUUUAAAUUUUAAAAUAAUCAUGAAAGUCCACAAGAAGAUGCAAAUCAAGUACAAUUUUCUUAUGUAUACUGAUUCUUCCCAAGCACAUCUAAUUUAUGAGAACUUAGAUCUGAGCAGAGAAAAAGAGCAUUUCAGAUGAUCUGGACCAGUAAUCUUGCUUCAAAAUUCAAAACUGUUAAUGUGGGGGAAAGUGCUUACAUCUUAACCUACACAAUUUUCUCUUUAUAACCAAGGGCCAGCCCUAAUAAAAUAUAUAAAAUGAAGCUUGCCUGUGGUCCCCAUCCUGCUUCAUAGUCUUUUCUGUAUCCUUUGUUACAUGCCAAUGGUGUCUGUAGUUUUGCUGAAUGUACCAUUAUGCUCUAAGCCAAUAAAGGCAAUCUUGAGUGACUGGUGACCUUCUCAAAUGAAUCUUUUUAUGUCACUAUGUCAAGUGGUUUCUGCUGUCUUAUGAGGUCAGCCCUCCACACAAGGAUUCUUCCAUUCAUACAUUUGAAAUAAUUUGGGAGUCCAGUUCUGACAAACUCAGUCAGUGCUCACACAACCAUAGGAAGUUUGCAUUCCUCAGUAGGCCCUUAAGACGGUCUCAACAAAUGAUUUCAUUCCCGAGAUGCUUUUAAACACUGACCUCUAUAUUUCAGGUUUUCUGGACAUCUGUUAGGGUGGCAUUCAGUGUGCUUUCAACACAUGACUUAUCUGUAUACAAACCUGAGUUGACAGGGAGAAGCCUGUGGCUUUCUAAUAAACGACAGAGUUAAUCAGCAAGACAGACCCUAGAGCGGUGUCUUGGGCAGUCGCCUUAAAAAUAUCAGAGAAAACCAUCAGAUAAUUUCAGUGGGGGUAUUCCACACUCAGCAACACAAAGAUGGUGCUUUUCUAUGAGUGGAGCAUCUUGAAGCAAUUCUAUUGACAAACCCAGGAUUUAUCUAUUUGUAAAUAAGCAUCAUAGGAAACUGGGGAAGCAGGGGGACCAUGUAGAGAUUUGCAAGAGGCAUCUGCUAUCUGGAAGCAGAGACCAUACAAUUGAAAGGUGAGCUAGCUAAUCAGAAUGACAUUUUCAAAACUGAAUUAUUUUACUAUAAUUUAGACAGACCAUAAUUUGGGAUGAACUUUUUCUCCAUAGUGACAGAAAUAUUCUCUCAUACAAUGAGUUAUUAGCCAAUCUAGAAACAAAUAAAUACAAAGUAUUAAAGAGACAAAAUUUUCUUUUAUUUAUAUUUCUAGUUUUGUAGGAAAGGGUUUUUGCAUCACAAAUAUUUAAUCAAACUGCUGAAUUCUGUAUUUAAGUUGCAAAUGGCCACAGCAAUGUCUUUAUGAUUUCUCUUGAAAAACUCUGUACAUCAAACAUCAGAAAACAUGCUCUCCAGGGAGCUUGUCCCAAACAAAUAUGGUUCAUUGUUCUCUAGGUUUUAUGUUUAGAGUUACUUAAUGUAAACGCUAUUUUCAGUCAUUAUUUUAGUGGCAAUAGCUGAACUGUACGUGUGUACGUGCUAUCACUAAUCACUACCGACAACAGAAGUUCUAAAAUUGAUUUUUUUCAAUGUAUCUAAAUGAGAAUGUAUAAAUCAAGUAAUUAGAAAGCAGAGAUCAAGGAAGAAUGUUUUUCGUUUUUCCCUAAUGGGUGGCUGUCUUAUAACCAGUUCAUUAGGACCAAUCAACAGCACUUCUGAAAACAUGGGGUAGAGUGAAAAUUACUCUUCUACCUUCAGCCAGUAUCAUACCUCCUCCUAUGCACACUGAACAUCUCUGGGCAUGAAGAGUGUCAGCUCUGUAUCUUGUCUCCUUCCUGCUAAUGUUUUCUUUUCUUUCCCACCACAUUUGAGCACCACCAGUGAGAAGGACUAGAAAUAGCUUUCCCAGUGAGGGAAAAACAAACAAAAACCUGAGGACUGGUGGAAUGGCGGGCCAGUGAUUGGUCACUGGAGUCAAGCCCAUGGAAGACAAGAACGUGGGAAUGGAAGCGGUGUUGCUUAAAUGCUUCUCAGUGGAAACAGUGUGGCCUCUGCCUGUUAACUUAGUAUGACACAGAAAUCACCUCCUAACUGCUGGUGCUUUCUCUUCAGCCAACACCCAAAGCCACCACCAGGGUCAUGGGGAUGAGACUUCACAAGACUGGAGACUGUAUGCUCUGCUGCAUGCUGAAGACCUAGAACUCUGGCAGCUGUUUAGUACCACAAACUGGAGGCCUCGGAACAAAGGGGACCAAUGAUGAGGCCCCAGUGGAAAGCUGAAGGCCUGAAAAAACCCCUGGAUGAUUCUGCACUGAGAAGCCAAAGACACUGGAAUCUGAUGCUCAUGGCUGUUUUGAAAACCGGACAGCCAACAGCAGGUCAGAGCAGAUUGUGAUCCUGGAAGAAUAAGGGGAAGGACAGCUCCUGUAAAAUGGUGCUGUGGAUACUGUCCUAAAACCGUGCAACUGUUAGCUGGCCGCUGACCUCCAUUGCUGAACAUGACAGCUCUCCUGGACCCUGGCCUUCUCUCUUCUCUUUUCCAUCUCCUUAGUCACAGAAGUUGCUAAGGUUUACAUCUCCCAAACUCCAGCUAAGUUGCCCUAGAGCUUUCUUCUGUGUCUGUUUCUGAAUUCUUUUACUAACAAGACUGAGAACUCAGAAAAGAAAACCCUGGUUUCCUAGGUAACAGCUUCAGGUUUAAGUAUUAAUAAAUGCUAUUAGUUCUUCUGACAGUCCUCACACAUUGAACUUGGCCUGUCUUCUCAAAUACUGGUCCUCCCAAAAGACUACAUGAGAGUUUCUAUUGAUCAAUGUGAAGUUCAUAAUACUGUUAAUGAGACAGCUCACAGUAAACUGAGGUCAAACUUAUUUGACUAACAAACAUUAAAAGGCAUCUUCUGAUUUAGAAACUCAUAAGGACUGUAGGAAAAAUGGAAUACAUUGUUCUUUUCUUCAAUAUUUUUACAAUUAAUUUAGGGGAUUUGGAUUGAGUACUUCACUGUAAUCCAAAGAGACUACACUAUAUUUUACCAGGAAGGAAUAAAUGAAAGUCUAGGGAUGUUACAAGAUGACUGAUGGUGGCUUUUCUGUUUAGGAAGAGUCUACAUUGGGUAUGUAAUUCCAGUACUCAGGAGGCAGAGGCAGGAGAAGUGUUGCAGGUUCAAGGCCAGCCUGGUCUACAUGACAAGAUUGAGGCCAGUCACAACUAUGAAGUGAGACUUUCUCUCAAAAAAUAAAAAUAAAAAAUGAAAAAUCAAACCAAACAAAAAUCCAAACAAAAGAAUGUGCCAUUAAUGAUGGGGUCUUAAAGGACUCCUAGACAUGUCAGUUUGACCAAUAUCAUUUUCUGACCUGAACACACAGACAUUAAUAAGGACAGCAGGUCUAAAAUAUGAUUGCUUAUUAAAAUGGCUCUCUGGCAUCAAAUGAUGUUCCCUUCACCUUUUACCUUUUUUCCUUUGCAGUGCUAAGGGUUGAACCCAGGGCUUUGUGCCAACAGCCUACAACUGAACUAUAUCCCUUGCCCUAAACUGAGUUCAUUUUAAUACCAGAUAUAGGUUAAAAACUAUUGUAUGUAUAAACUUCCAGGUCAGCAUAUUCAAUAUGGUUCAUAUUUUGGAACAAUUUAUAUAUAUUCCUGUAUAGCUAAAGAACUUUAGAGAUUUUGUUUUCAUACUAAAAUUUAGAAAGACAUUAAAUUUUAAGACUUUUAAUAAAGUAUAUACAAUUCAUUGGUGUUCCUGUAAACUUUGGAAGAUUUAAAAUUUUUCCUUCUUGGUAUUUUUUUUUUCAAGAGAAGAAGCUGUAAUUUUAAUUCUUCCUUGAAGGAAACUUUGAAAAGGAGUCAGUCCAUAUCUCUGACUUGCCAAAAUUAUGUAUGGAGUCUUUCCUCAUUGGUUUUAGAUUUUGGUAUUAUUUUAAACAAGCCAAUUACAGUAUGCUUGCACAUUGUUAUUAUAUAAUGAAAUUAGAAGGAAAAUACUACAGUUAUUUCAAUGUGGUAAGAUUAUAAUUGACAUGUUAAUUUUCCCUUAUAUUUCAAAUUUUUAAUAAUGUGAUUAUAUUUUGCACUGAUUAGUGUCAAUUAAAGACUAAACAAAAAUUUACCUAAAAUAUGUUAUCAUACAUUAAGAUAUAUGUCCAUUUCAAGAAAAUUGAGAUUGAACUUACAGUGCAUUUCAAGACUAUUGUAAGAGUAAGAUUACAAUUGGGUAUUUAUUAUUUAUAAGACAUAAGUCAAUGGAAAAAUAAUGGAAGCAUAUAACAUACAAGCAAUUAAUGAAUUAAUGAUGGCCACCUAUGAGCAGACUUCAAUUUUUCUAAGUAAGAUUUGCAUUCACGGAAUUGGAGAGAUAGCCCAGUAGUUAGGAGAACUGGCUAUUCUUGCAGAGUAUCAAGGCUCAACUCUCUACAUGCACAUGGUGGCUCACAACUGUCUACACUUCAAGUUCCAGGAGAUCCAACACCCUCUUCUGGCCUCAGUAAGUUAUAGGCAUGCAAAUGUGCGCUGACACCUGUGCAGGCAAAAUAUCCAUACACAUAAACAAGGUAAUUUAAAAAUUGCCAGGCAGUGGUGGCACAGACCCUUAAUCCCAGCACUUGGUAGGAGAGGCAGGCGGAUCUCUGAGUUCAUGGGCAGCCUGAUCUACAUAGUGAGUUCCAGGAAAGCCAGGGCUACACAGAGAAACCCUGUCUUGAAAAACAAAACAAAACAAAAAACAAAAAAAAAUGCAUUUACUUUAAAAACCAUAAUAAACAUGAAAACAUUUGUUUCAUAAACAUCUGUUCAAAGAGUCAAUAUGUUUAUUUUUUCUUAAAAGUGAGUGGUAAAACUGAGAGUUGUAAAAUUAUCAGAUGCCACCUGUAUAUUGAGAAAUGUUCAUCAUGCACUUGUUCCUCAGCUCCCUGUCAUGAGUAAUAGAAGUUUAACAAUUGUGAUUUUUAAAAGUUAUAUCUAUAACAUAAAUCUUAUAUAAGUACUCCUAGAAUCAGCUUGCUCAUUUGUAAAAUAGUAACAACAAAACAUUUUUCUUGCCUUUAGUAGAAGAAACUGCUGUAAAAUUUGUGUCGAAGAAAGCCUGUGCCUUUGAUUAAGAGAGUACUUAGAAGUGUUGAGGGUUGCUUGACAAGGGUACGGACGAGAGACAAGAAACUAGUAGAUACUAGGGUGCUUUUUUUCAUGCAAGCGAGGUUGGCCUCAGGAGAAAGUGACCUAGUGCUUCAUGUUGGGUCAUAAUGGUCCUGGCUCUAGAGACAGCAUUCUAAACAUUGAGUAAUUGUGUUUUUGAUUUUGUAGUUUGUAAGAAAAGUCCAGUAGGCUGAUGGAACAGAAGCUGGUGGCUUCUAUCACCCCAGGUGCAUGAGAGGGCUCAACUGAAGGGGCUUUGUUAUCACAAGACAACCAUAAAGAGCACCUUCUCUUCAUACAGAGA
Long non-coding RNA from Peromyscus californicus insignis, 12853 nucleotides. RefSeq lists it as uncharacterized. The transcript is spliced from 6 exons. NCBI's taxonomy places the organism in Eukaryota, Metazoa, Chordata, Mammalia, Rodentia, Cricetidae. The record is from RefSeq and is a predicted model, not a curated record.